RNAcentral lists this transfer RNA (79 nucleotides) under Pseudomonadota bacterium. Its description in RNAcentral is "tRNA-His". It matches the Rfam family "tRNA". From Rfam's summary of the family: Transfer RNA (tRNA) molecules are approximately 80 nucleotides in length. Their secondary structure includes four short double-helical elements and three loops (D, anti-codon, and T loops). The record is from RNAcentral. Lineage: Bacteria; Pseudomonadati; Pseudomonadota. RNAcentral also lists the same sequence under 1 other name.
GUGGGUGUAGCUCAAUUGGUCAGAGCGCUAGACUGUGGCUCUAGAGGUUUUGCGGGUUCGAUCCCCGUCACCCACCCCA